CUUACAGUGAAAUGCUGAAUACAACAGGUGUAGUAGACCUUACAGUGAAAUGCUGAAUACAACAGGUGUAGUAGACCUUACAGUGAAAUGCUGAAUACAACAGGUGUAGUAGACCUUACAGUGAAAUGCUGAAUACAACAGGUGUAGUAGACCUUACAGUGAAAUGCUGAAUACAGCAGGUGUAGUAGACCUCACAGUGAAAUGCUGAAUACAACAGGUGUAGUAGACCUUACAGUGAAAUGCUGAAUACAACAGGUGUAGUAGACCUUACAGUGAAAUGCUGAAUACAGCAGGUGUAGUAGACCUUACAGUGAAAUGCUGAAUACAACAGGUGUAGUAGACCUUACAGUGAAAUGCUGAAUACAACAGGUGUAGUAGACCUUACAGUGAAAUGCUGAAUACAACAGGUGUAGUAGACCUUACAGUGAAAUGCUGAAUACAACAGGUGUAGUAGACCUUACAGUGAAAUGCUGAAUACAACAGGUGUAGUAGACCUUACAGUGAAAUGCUGAAUACAACAGGUGUAGUAGACCUUACAGUGAAAUGCUGAAUACAACAGGUGUAGUAGACCUUACAGUGAAAUGCUGAAUACAACAGGUGUAGUAGACCUUACAGUGAAAUGCUGAAUACAGGUGUAGUAGACCUUACAGUGAAAUGCUGAAUACAACAAGUGUAGUAGACCUUACAGUGAAAUGCUGAAUACAACAGGUGUAGUAGACCUUACAGUGAAAUGCUGAAUACAACAGGUGUAGUAGACCUUACAGUGAAAUGCUGAAUACAGGUGUAGUAGACCUUACAGUGAAAUGCUGAAUACAACAGGUGUAGUAGACCUUACAGUGAAAUGCUGAAUACAACAGGUGUAGUAGACCUUACAGUGAAAUGCUGAAUACAGCAGGUGUAGUAGACCUCACAGUGAAAUGCUGAAUACAACAGGUGUAGUAGACCUCACAGUGAAAUGCUGAAUACAACAGGUGUAGUAGACCUUACAGUGAAAUGCUGAAUACACAGGUGUAGUAGACCUUACAGUGAAAUGCUGAAUACAACAGGUGUAGUAGACCUUACAGUGAAAUGCUGAAUACAACAGGUGUAGUAGACCUUACAGUGAAAUGCUGAAUACAACAGGUGUAGUAGACCUUACAGUGAAAUGCUGAAUACAACAGGUGUAGUAGACCUCACAGUGAAAUGCUGAAUACAACAGGUGUAGUAGACCUUACAGUGAAAUGCUGAAUACAGCAGGUGUAGUAGACCUCACAGUGAAAUGCUGAAUACAGCAGGUGUAGUAGACCUUACAGUGAAAUGCUGAAUACAGCAGGUGUAGUAGACCUUACAGUGAAAUGCUGAAUACAGCAGGUGUAGUAGACCUUACAGUGAAAUGCUGAAUACAACAGGUGUAGUAGACCUUACAGUGAAAUGCUGAAUACAACAGGUGUAGUAGACCUCACAGUGAAAUGCUGAAUACAGCAGGUGUAGUAGACCUUACAGUGAAAUGCUGAAUACAACAGGUGUAGUAGACCUUACAGUGAAAUGCUGAAUACAACAGGUGUAGUAGACCUUACAGUGAAAUGCUGAAUACAACAGGUGUAGUAGACCUUACAGUGAAAUGCUGAAUACAACAGGUGUAGUAGACCUUACAGUGAAAUGCUGAAUACAGCAGGUGUAGUAGACCUUACAGUGAAAUGCUGAAUACAACAGGUGUAGUAGACCUCACAGUGAAAUGCUGAAUACAACAGGUGUAGUAGACCUUACAGUGAAAUGCUGAAUACAACAGGUGUAGUAGACCUUACAGUGAAAUGCUGAAUACAAUAGGUGUAGUAGACCUUACAGUGAAAUGCUGAAUACAACAGGUGUAGUAGACCUCACAGUGAAAUGCUGAAUACAACAGGUGUAGUAGACCUCACAGUGAAAUGCUGAAUACAACAGGUGUAGUAGACCUUACAGUGAAAUGCUGAAUACAACAGGUGUAGUAGACCUCACAGUGAAAUGCUGAAUACAGCAGGUGUAGUAGACCUUACAGUGAAAUGCUGAAUACAACAGGUGUAGUAGACCUUACAGUGAAAUGCUGAAUACAACAGGUGUAGUAGACCUUACAGUGAAAUGCUGAAUACAACAGGUGUAGUAGACCUUACAGUGAAAUGCUGAAUACAGCAGGUGUAGUAGACCUUACAGUGAAAUGCUGAAUACAACAGGUGUAGUAGACCUCACAGUGAAAUGCUGAAUACAACAGGUGUAGUAGACCUCACAGUGAAAUGCUGAAUACAGCAGGUGUAGUAGACCUCACAGUGAAAUGCUGAAUACAACAGGUGUAGUAGACCUUACAGUGAA
Long non-coding RNA from Oncorhynchus keta (chum salmon), 2322 nucleotides. RefSeq lists it as uncharacterized. The record is from RefSeq and is a predicted model, not a curated record. NCBI's taxonomy places the organism in Eukaryota, Metazoa, Chordata, Actinopteri, Salmoniformes, Salmonidae. The transcript has 3 exons.